This 2798-nucleotide ribosomal RNA is filed under the name Klebsiella pneumoniae. RNAcentral's name for it is "bacterial LSU rRNA". It matches the Rfam family "Bacterial large subunit ribosomal RNA". Lineage: Bacteria; Pseudomonadati; Pseudomonadota; Gammaproteobacteria; Enterobacterales; Enterobacteriaceae. The record is from RNAcentral.
CCGGCGAUGUCCGAAUGGGGAAACCCAGUGCAAUUCGUUGCACUAUCGUUAACUGAAUACAUAGGUUAACGAGGCGAACCGGGGGAACUGAAACAUCUAAGUACCCCGAGGAAAAGAAAUCAACCGAGAUUCCCCCAGUAGCGGCGAGCGAACGGGGAGCAGCCCAGAGUCUGAAUCAGCUUGUGUGUUAGUGGAACGGUCUGGAAAGUCCGACGGUACAGGGUGAUAGUCCCGUACACCAAAAUGCACAGGUUGUGAACUCGAAGAGUAGGGCGGGACACGUGGUAUCCUGUCUGAAUAUGGGGGGACCAUCCUCCAAGGCUAAAUACUCCUGACUGACCGAUAGUGAACCAGUACCGUGAGGGAAAGGCGAAAAGAACCCCGGCGAGGGGAGUGAAAAAGAACCUGAAACCGUGUACGUACAAGCAGUGGGAGCACCUUCGGGUGUGACUGCGUACCUUUUGUAUAAUGGGUCAGCGACUUAUAUUCUGUAGCAAGGUUAACCGUAUAGGGGAGCCGCAGGGAAACCGAGUCUUAACUGGGCGUUAAGUUGCAGGGUAUAGACCCGAAACCCGGUGAUCUAGCCAUGGGCAGGUUGAAGGUUGGGUAACACUAACUGGAGGACCGAACCGACUAAUGUUGAAAAAUUAGCGGAUGACUUGUGGCUGGGGGUGAAAGGCCAAUCAAACCGGGAGAUAGCUGGUUCUCCCCGAAAGCUAUUUAGGUAGCGCCUCGUGAACUCAUCUUCGGGGGUAGAGCACUGUUUCGGCUAGGGGGUCAUCCCGACUUACCAACCCGAUGCAAACUACGAAUACCGAAGAAUGUUAUCACGGGAGACACACGGCGGGUGCUAACGUCCGUCGUGAAGAGGGAAACAACCCAGACCGCCAGCUAAGGUCCCAAAGUCAUGGUUAAGUGGGAAACGAUGUGGGAAGGCACAGACAGCCAGGAUGUUGGCUUAGAAGCAGCCAUCAUUUAAAGAAAGCGUAAUAGCUCACUGGUCGAGUCGGCCUGCGCGGAAGAUGUAACGGGGCUAAACCAUGCACCGAAGCUGCGGCAGCGACACUAUGUGUUGUUGGGUAGGGGAGCGUUCUGUAAGCCUGCGAAGGUGACCUGUGAGGGUUGCUGGAGGUAUCAGAAGUGCGAAUGCUGACAUAAGUAACGAUAAAGCGGGUGAAAAGCCCGCUCGCCGGAAGACCAAGGGUUCCUGUCCAACGUUAAUCGGGGCAGGGUGAGUCGACCCCUAAGGCGAGGCCGAAAGGCGUAGUCGAUGGGAAACAGGUUAAUAUUCCUGUACUUGGUGUUACUGCGAAGGGGGGACGGAGAAGGCUAUGUUAGCCGGGCGACGGUUGUCCCGGUUUAAGCAUGUAGGCUGGUUAUCCAGGCAAAUCCGGAUAAUCAAGGCUGAGGUGUGAUGACGAGGCACUACGGUGCUGAAGUAACAAAUGCCCUGCUUCCAGGAAAAGCCUCUAAGCAUCAGGUAACAUCAAAUCGUACCCCAAACCGACACAGGUGGUCAGGUAGAGAAUACCAAGGCGCUUGAGAGAACUCGGGUGAAGGAACUAGGCAAAAUGGUGCCGUAACUUCGGGAGAAGGCACGCUGGUGUGUAGGUGAAGUCCCUGCGGAUGGAGCUGAGACCAGUCGAAGAUACCAGCUGGCUGCAACUGUUUAUUAAAAACACAGCACUGUGCAAACACGAAAGUGGACGUAUACGGUGUGACGCCUGCCCGGUGCCGGAAGGUUAAUUGAUGGGGUUAUCCGUAAGGAGAAGCUCUUGAUCGAAGCCCCGGUAAACGGCGGCCGUAACUAUAACGGUCCUAAGGUAGCGAAAUUCCUUGUCGGGUAAGUUCCGACCUGCACGAAUGGCGUAAUGAUGGCCAGGCUGUCUCCACCCGAGACUCAGUGAAAUUGAACUCGCUGUGAAGAUGCAGUGUACCCGCGGCAAGACGGAAAGACCCCGUGAACCUUUACUAUAGCUUGACACUGAACAUUGAGCCUUGAUGUGUAGGAUAGGUGGGAGGCUUUGAAGCGUGGACGCCAGUCUGCGUGGAGCCAACCUUGAAAUACCACCCUUUAAUGUUUGAUGUUCUAACGUUGGCCCCUGACCGGGGUUGCGGACAGUGUCUGGUGGGUAGUUUGACUGGGGCGGUCUCCUCCCAAAGCGUAACGGAGGAGCACGAAGGUUAGCUAAUCCUGGUCGGACAUCAGGAGGUUAGUGCAAUGGCAUAAGCUAGCUUGACUGCGAGCGUGACGGCGCGAGCAGGUGCGAAAGCAGGUCAUAGUGAUCCGGUGGUUCUGAAUGGAAGGGCCAUCGCUCAACGGAUAAAAGGUACUCCGGGGAUAACAGGCUGAUACCGCCCAAGAGUUCAUAUCGACGGCGGUGUUUGGCACCUCGAUGUCGGCUCAUCACAUCCUGGGGCUGAAGUAGGUCCCAAGGGUAUGGCUGUUCGCCAUUUAAAGUGGUACGCGAGCUGGGUUUAGAACGUCGUGAGACAGUUCGGUCCCUAUCUGCCGUGGGCGCUGGAGAAUUGAGGGGGGCUGCUCCUAGUACGAGAGGACCGGAGUGGACGCAUCACUGGUGUUCGGGUUGUCAUGCCAAUGGCACUGCCCGGUAGCUAAAUGCGGAAGAGAUAAGUGCUGAAAGCAUCUAAGCACGAAACUUGCCCCGAGAUGAGUUCUCCCUGAGACUUUAAGUCUCCUGAAGGAACGUUAAAGACGAUGACGUUGAUAGGCCGGGUGUGUAAGCGCAGCGAUGCGUUGAGCUAACCGGUACUAAUGAACCGUGAGGCUUAACCUU